Molecule: ribosomal RNA, 254 nt
Filed under: uncultured bacterium
Lineage: Bacteria
Description: partial 16S ribosomal RNA
Rfam family: Bacterial small subunit ribosomal RNA
Source: RNAcentral
UACGUAGGGUGCAAGCGUUGUCCGGAAUUAUUGGGCGUAAAGAGCUCGUAGGCGGUUUGUCGCGUCGAAUGUGAAAACCCGGGGCUCAACCCCGGGCCUGCAUUCGAUACGGGCAGACUAGAGUUCGGUAGGGGAGUCUGGAAUUCCUGGUGUAGCGGUGAAAAUGCGCAGAUAUCAGGAGGAACACCGGUGGCGAAGGCGGGUCUCUGGGCCGUAACUGACGCUGAGGAGCGAAAGCGUGGGGAGCAAACAGG